This is a small nucleolar RNA of Lathyrus oleraceus (garden pea), 107 nucleotides long. The record is from RefSeq and is a predicted model, not a curated record. NCBI's taxonomy places the organism in Eukaryota, Viridiplantae, Streptophyta, Magnoliopsida, Fabales, Fabaceae.
AUGCCAUGGUGGAGACAUUGUCUAGGCAGCUCCUCGAAUCUUUCCCAAGCAUCAAAUAGGGAUUCAUACCCUCCUUGUCAAAAUGAGGUUAUCUCAUUUCUCAUUUU